RNAcentral lists this ribosomal RNA (764 nucleotides) under uncultured Streptococcus sp. Its description in RNAcentral is "bacterial SSU rRNA". It matches the Rfam family "Bacterial small subunit ribosomal RNA", at positions 28 to 776 of the family's 1533-position model. The record is from RNAcentral. Lineage: Bacteria; Bacillati; Bacillota; Bacilli; Lactobacillales; Streptococcaceae.
GACGAACGCUGGCGGCGUGCCUAAUACAUGCAAGUAGAACGCUGAAGGAGGAGCUUGCUCUUCUGGAUGAGUUGCGAACGGGUGAGUAACGCGUAGGUAACCUGCCUGGUAGCGGGGGAUAACUAUUGGAAACGAUAGCUAAUACCGCAUAAGAGUAGAUGUCGCAUGACAUUUGCUUAAAAGGUGCAAUUGCAUCACUACCAGAUGGACCUGCGUUGUAUUAGCUAGUUGGUGAGGUAACGGCUCACCAAGGCAACGAUACAUAGCCGACCUGAGAGGGUGAUCGGCCACACUGGGACUGAGACACGGCCCAGACUCCUACGGGAGGCAGCAGUAGGGAAUCUUCGGCAAUGGACGGAAGUCUGACCGAGCAACGCCGCGUGAGUGAAGAAGGUUUUCGGAUCGUAAAGCUCUGUUGUAAGAGAAGAACGAGUGUGAGAGUGGAAAGUUCACACUGUGACGGUAUCUUACCAGAAAGGGACGGCUAACUACGUGCCAGCAGCCGCGGUAAUACGUAGGUCCCGAGCGUUGUCCGGAUUUAUUGGGCGUAAAGCGCACGUAGGCGGACAUUUAAGUCAGGGGUGAAAUCCCGGGGCUCAACCUCGGAACUGCCUUUGAUACUGGGUGUCUGGAGUGUGGAAGAGGUGAGUGGAAUUCCGAGUGUAGAGGUGAAAUUCGUAGAUAUUCGGAGGAACACCAGUGGCGAAGGCGGCUCACUGGUCCACAACUGACGCUGAGGUGCGAAAGCGUGGGGAGCAAACAGG